CACCUCGACGUCAUCAGUAACAGUCAAGAAUGGGCGCGGUUUGAACACAAAUCAGCGUGUCAUGCGCAGAAACGUAAGAAAGUGUGCAGUUUUGGCGAGAUUUUAGCGGGUUUUUAAAAUUUAUCAGGAAGCUGAAUUUGGAUUGGAAUGACGAGGAAUUAUUUCACUCUGGCGUGCCUAAUCGUACAUGACUUUGAGGAGACGACGUGCGCUACCAUCCCAGCACGUCGUAUUUGAAUAUGGACAAAAAAACAGAUCAGACAUUAGCAACUGCUAUUGAUCCUCAAAUAGGGGCCGAGCUGUCUGUUUUGAACGCCGCUGCCCGGUCGAUCCCAUCUGACCUACUGUUCACAAGAGAGCAUAAAUUAGAAGGAAAUCUCAGGGUAUCCUCGGUCCUCUCACACAGACAGCAGGGACGGAGAACGGCAGAGAGCCUUUGGCCAGAGGGUGGCAGCAGUGAGUAGCCCUCGCCACAGAGAAGCAGCACGAGUGUUAUCCCUGUCUUCACCUCAGCAGCCACGUCCUCUUGGGUCCUACACAAGCCCCCUGCACAAUUACAGGACAGCCCUAAUUCCUUAUCAUAAAAAUCCAAUGGUGUAAUGUUGGAGGAAUUGCUGUGUUGAGGCUAAACAAUAGGUCUCACACACUACGCUUUGUGUCAUUAAACUCAGCAUGCAAGCUUUGAAGUGUCCCUUAAUUCGGCCAUGCUGCGCCUCUUCCACAUGAAGAUAUUGCAACAAUAUGAAGAAAACCAAAUGAGAGAGUCAGAGAGACAAAUAGAGAUGUAGCCAUCACCUUCACUGUGAACCGCUUUUAUUUUCAGUGCUGUUAGGUGUACUACAGAGAUUACUUAGACCCAUUACCACAGUUAUGGUUAGGCGGAGCACCAGAGCAAUAGAGAAACAGUGUUCUCCUGGUACUUCAUAGGCAAGUCAGACGUCUGGCUUCGAACCUAUGCAGUAUUCCCACAAGGGCUCUAGUGUUCACAUUUACCACAAAUGCAAUACACACUUGAAAAGUUUGCAUCACCAGACAGCCGCUGCUGAGGACGUACGCUUAAUUUCAAUCACAUCAUUUGAGUGGGAGGGAAGAAAUCAGUUAGUGGAGAGGAAACAUUAUUUGAGAUAAGAUCAUUUGAGAGGAUUUUUUUUGCUACAUGCUUUGAUGUUGAAGAGAAUUAAAGGGAUAGUUCACCCAAAAAUAUAUUUUUUAUACUAUUUUUAUUAUUAUUACUAUUAUUUUAUUCACCCACAUGUCCUUCGAAGCAUAUGAAUUAUUCACUGUUGGCCUUUAAAAAAAAAUCUUGAACAUUCUGCUAAAUAUCUU
Long non-coding RNA from Cyprinus carpio carpio, 1326 nucleotides. Lineage: Eukaryota; Metazoa; Chordata; Actinopteri; Cypriniformes; Cyprinidae. The record is from Ensembl.